CCUACGGGCGGCUGCAGUGAGGAAUAUUGGUCAAUGGGCGCAAGCCUGAACCAGCCAUCCCGCGUGCAGGAAGACGGCCCUAUGGGUUGUAAACUGCUUUUCCAGGAGGAGAAACUCUCGUACGUGAUACGGGAUUGACGGUACCCUGGGAAUAAGCAUCGGCUAACUCCGUGCCAGCAGCCGCGGUAAUACGGAGGAUGCAAGCGUUAUCCGGAUUCAUUGGGUUUAAAGGGUGCGUAGGCGGACUAUUAAGUCAGUGGUGAAAUCCUGCAGCUUAACUGCAGAACUGCCGUUGAUACUGAUAGUCUUGAGUUUGGUUAAGGUAGGCGGAAUGUGUAAUGUAGCGGUGAAAUGCUUAGAUAUUACACAGAACACCGAUUGCGUAGGCAGCUUACUGAGCCGACACUGACGCUGAGGCACGAAAGCGUGGGGAUCGAACAGGCUUAGAUACCCCUGUAGUC
This 461-nucleotide ribosomal RNA is filed under the name uncultured Bacteroidota bacterium. RNAcentral's name for it is "bacterial SSU rRNA". It matches the Rfam family "Bacterial small subunit ribosomal RNA", at positions 338 to 795 of the family's 1533-position model. Lineage: Bacteria; Pseudomonadati; Bacteroidota. The record is from RNAcentral.